RNAcentral lists this ribosomal RNA (404 nucleotides) under uncultured bacterium. RNAcentral describes it as "bacterial SSU rRNA". It matches the Rfam family "Bacterial small subunit ribosomal RNA", at positions 985 to 1392 of the family's 1533-position model. The record is from RNAcentral.
UAUGCAGGACGGUCGCAGAGAUGUGACUUCUCUUCGGAGCCUGGAACACAGGUGCUGCAUGGCUGUCGUCAGCUCGUGUCGUGAGAUGUUGGGUUAAGUCCCGCAACGAGCGCAACCCCCGUCCUUAGUUGCUACCAUUUAGUUGAGCACUCUAAGGAGACUGCCGGUGAUAAGCCGCGAGGAAGGUGGGGAUGACGUCAAGUCCUCAUGGCCCUUACGGGCUGGGCUACACACGUGCUACAAUGGCGGUGACAAUGGGACGCUAAGGGGCAACCCUUCGCAAAUCUCAAAAAGCCGUCUCAGUUCGGAUUGGGCUCUGCAACUCGAGCCCAUGAAGUUGGAAUCGCUAGUAAUCGUGGAUCAGCACGCCACGGUGAAUACGUUCCCGGGCCUUGUACACACCG